CUCCCAUUUGUAAGCAUCUCUGAGCCAGAAAUCAUUCAGCGGCUGCUGCUGCUGCUGCAUCCUUCAGGGACAAAAUGUUCUAAAGAGCUAAUGUUGCUCUUUCAUUAAGAAACCUAUUCAGAGCCACAGAGAGCGAUUUUGACAGUGCAACUGGUAGUUGCUCUAGGGUAGGAGCUUGACAGGAGACCUAUUUUCAGCUAAAUGAAUGUAUACUGUUUAUUUAAAGAAACAGUCAGCUGCCGGUUUGGGUAUGCCUGAGAACAUCCCUGUGUGUCUCCUGCACUCUGCAUCCCCAGGCUGCACUUCUUAUGCCUUGAGAUGGCAACAAAACGGCUGGUACGACACGAAUGUCAGCAAUGUGGCUCUCCUUUAAGUCAAAACCUAUUUCAUGCUGUUUGCAGUGAGGAAAUGUACCUUCAGCCCUCUGGCUGUCCGGAUUGAGAGCAGACAUGUGCAAAAUAUUAUAGUUUAUAAGGCCUGUGAACUCAGCGUACUUCAAGAUCAAAUUCCCAUUACAGUGAAAUCAUUGGCAAAACCGUGGUUACCUCCAGGCAGCCUGGAUCAGACGCAGGGAAAAAGCGGAACCGACCAAAGCAACCCCAAAU
Gallus gallus (chicken) is the source of this 605-nucleotide long non-coding RNA. NCBI's taxonomy places the organism in Eukaryota, Metazoa, Chordata, Aves, Galliformes, Phasianidae. The record is from Ensembl.